GACGAACGCUGGCGGCGUGCUUAACACAUGCAAGUCGAACGGAAAGGCCCUGCUUUUGUGGGGUGCUCGAGUGGCGAACGGGUGAGUAACACGUGAGUAACCUGCCCUUGACUUUGGGAUAACUUCAGGAAACUGGGGCUAAUACCGGAUAGGAGCUCCUGCUGCAUGGUGGGGGUUGGAAAGUUGCGGGGGUUGGGGAUGGACUCGCGGUUUAUCAGUUUGUUGGUGGGGUAGUGGCUUACCAAGGCUUUGGCGGGUGGCCGGCCUGAGGGGGUGACCGGCCACGUGGGGGCGGAGACGCCCACAAUACUCCUGGGGGAGGCAGCGGGGGAGAAUGUUGCACAGGGGGCAGACGCCUGAUGCAACGACGCCGGGGGGGUGAUGGCCGUCUGGGUGUUAAAAGCCUUUUGCGCGUGAGACGAAGCGUGAGUCGGGAUAGUGAGAAGAAGAACAGGGGAAAUCUGCG
Molecule: ribosomal RNA, 466 nt
Filed under: uncultured bacterium
Lineage: Bacteria
Description: partial 16S ribosomal RNA
Rfam family: Bacterial small subunit ribosomal RNA
Source: RNAcentral